RNAcentral lists this long non-coding RNA (1228 nucleotides) under Meleagris gallopavo (turkey). RNAcentral's name for it is "lncRNA (ENSMGAG00000019681.1)". The record is from RNAcentral. Lineage: Eukaryota; Metazoa; Chordata; Aves; Galliformes; Phasianidae.
GCAUUUUGUAUACCAGCUGGAAAGUGCAUAACCAGCAAGGUGCUGAUGCUGCACACACACUUGGCACAACUCAUUUCUCCAUGUAGGACAUUGACUCAUGUGCCAUGAGGGCCAGACAGAGACAAUUAGAAAGUGUUCUUCUCCAUAAGCAUCCCACUACUAACACCAUUUUACACACUAGGGGAAACCAAGGCACAGAAGGAUGGAGUAACUCCUCCCAACAAAAUGUGGACAGUGGUGAACAGGAAGAGCAUGUUAAGGAGGAUAAAGUGAUUCUGCCACAGUGUCCCCUACAGACUGCUGCUGCAAAUGGCCAAGACUGGGGAACCAGGACACCUAUUUAUGAGGCAAGAGACCCAUCUGCAGGAAUGGGCAGGAAAUAAAUACAGAGAGGAGAAAAACUUGAUUGCUGUGUACUUAAAAAGGUGGAAAUGGCACAACAUGAGGCACUGAGGGCACUACACAGUGUCAUGGGAAAUAAUCAAAGCACACACCCCGAUUCUCAUGCCCUGGCUUAUCAUGGAGAUGGGUGCGUGAGCUUCUCCUUUCUCUCUCUGUUGCAAAAUCCUACAGUCAUAAGGCUCAUGCAGUUUAAGCAAUGGGAUGGGAGUGACAAUAUGGAAGAAGUUUAGCAACCAUGUCACCUCAAGUCCCCGGAUCUGCUGUGGCACUGAGCCAUGAGGGCACAGCAGGGAAGGCCUGCUGAAGGACCUGCUGCAGGGAGGGCAGGCUGCCUGCUCCUGUCACCAAAGCCAGCUGAACACCAAAAUCACUCCUUAGCCUUCCUUGUCCAGCCUGGGGCCACCCAGCUCCAAGGCAUGAAGCACCUCAUGAAAGAGGUCUCUGCCUUAAGCUAAGGAAUAGACAUUCACAGUGUAUACACAUUGUGAAUGGUUCUGGACACCUCAGCCCUAAGUGUGCAGGGCUCCAGGGUGGCCUGAAUUCUUGCAUGGUCAUUUGCCUUCAUAAUUGCAGAAAAUUGCAAUUUAGGCUAUGUAUAGAGCAUCUCUGUAGCUGGUAGGAGCACUAGUGGCUUCAAGGCUUCAAGGAAAGACCCGAAGAACUGUGUGGUGGAUACUGCUAAGAAGUGCUAUACUUCACAGCCUCUCAGCCCUCAAUCUCCCCAAGUCUCAGAGCCAGGAAAAAGCCUUGAGUUCAUGAGCUGUGGCAGCCUAAAAGCACCUCGCCUAAUAGGUCACCAGGAAAAUGCUCUGGCCUGAUUUUAAGG